AACUUUCGGCAACGGAUCGCUUGGCUCUCGCAUCGAUGAAGAACGCAGCGAAAUGCGAUACGUAAUGUGAAUUGCAGAAUUCAGUGAAUCAUCGAAUCUUUGAACGCACAUUGCACUCUCUGGUAUUCCGGAGAGUAUGCUUGUUUGAGUAUCAGUAAACACCUCAAAUCUCUUUUUUAUUAAAGAGAAUUGGACUUGAGCAAUCCCAACUCUUUGCAAAAGGAGGCGGGUUGCUUGAAAUGCAGGUGCAGCUGGACAUUCUUCUGAGCUAAAAGCAUAUUUAUUUAGUCCCGUCAAACGGAUUAUUACUUUUGCUCUAGCUAAUAUAAAGGUCGAAUGUGCUAUAUGCUGACUGAUGCAGGAUUACCAAGUUUUACUAGAUAAAACUUGUAAACUCGAUCUCAAAUCAAGUAAGACUACCCGCUGAACUUAAGCAUAUCAAUAAGCGGAGGCU
RNAcentral lists this unclassified non-coding RNA (454 nucleotides) under uncultured Mortierella. RNAcentral's name for it is "sequence contains ITS2". The stretch from base 1 to 154 matches the Rfam family "5.8S ribosomal RNA". The record is from RNAcentral. Lineage: Eukaryota; Fungi; Mortierellomycota; Mortierellomycetes; Mortierellales; Mortierellaceae.